This 410-nucleotide ribosomal RNA is filed under the name uncultured bacterium. RNAcentral describes it as "bacterial SSU rRNA". It matches the Rfam family "Bacterial small subunit ribosomal RNA", at positions 370 to 772 of the family's 1533-position model. The record is from RNAcentral.
AAUGGGCGAAAGCCUGACGCAGCGACGCCGCGUGAGGGAUGAAGGUCUUCGGAUCGUAAACCUCUGUCAGAAGGGAAGAAACUAGGGUGCUCUAAUCAUCAUCCUACUGACGGUACCUUCAAAGGAAGCACCGGCUAACUCCGUGCCAGCAGCCGCGGUAAUACGGAGGGUGCAAGCGUUAAUCGGAAUCACUGGGCGUAAAGCGCACGUAGGCUGUUAUGUAAGUCAGGGGUGAAAUCCCACGGCUCAACCGUGGAACUGCCCUUGAUACUGCACGACUUGAAUCCGGGAGAGGGUGGCGGAAUUCCAGGUGUAGGAGUGAAAUCCGUAGAUAUCUGGAGGAACAUCAGUGGCGAAGGCGGCCACCUGGACCGGUAUUGACGCUGAGGUGCGAAAGCGUGGGGAGCAAA